CCACAUUUGCUGUUGUUGUAAAAGCAGA
This 28-nucleotide non-coding RNA is filed under the name Rattus norvegicus (Norway rat). Lineage: Eukaryota; Metazoa; Chordata; Mammalia; Rodentia; Muridae. The record is from RNAcentral.